Molecule: transfer RNA, 69 nt
Filed under: Sardinella albella (white sardinella)
Lineage: Eukaryota; Metazoa; Chordata; Actinopteri; Clupeiformes; Clupeidae
Also listed under: 1 other name
Description: tRNA-Glu
Rfam family: tRNA
About the family: Transfer RNA (tRNA) molecules are approximately 80 nucleotides in length. Their secondary structure includes four short double-helical elements and three loops (D, anti-codon, and T loops).
Source: RNAcentral
AUUUCUAUAGUUGAACAACAACAAUGGUUUUUCAAGUCAUAGGUCUCGGUUAAAUUCCGGGUAGAAAUA